CGUUAGUUAUUUUAAAGAUGUCUCUCACUGGUAUUUGUACAGUUAAUUAGCACAAUACUUUAGCUUUACACAUUUGCUUUCAGAAUAAGCUACUUUACAUUUGUUGUUCUAGUAGUAGCAUGAUCUUUUAUUUUAAACAGGUGGGCCCAACAUAUGGCCGCAAAAUGAUGAAGGGCUAUCUGUCCACAAAAGGGGUACAUGCUGCAGAGGGACGAAUUGGGUCAAUUUUAAGAGAGGUGCAUCAACCUUAUCAUGAAGCAAGACGCCAGACCUGCAGUGAUCACCUAUGGUAUGUGGGACCAGGUGCGAGUAGACCAUGGAAAGGAAUUUUAUUUAACACUGUUCAUGCAAGAGAUGCUGUCACAUCAUCGCUUCAAUCAGGAGAGACUGCCUUAUUUACAGACCUCAUCCACAAGAGUAAGAUUUAAGUACCAUUAACAUCAGCUGAAAUUCUUAUACUAUUACGUGUACUACUACGUACAUUUAAGACAUGUUUCUUUUAACUCUUUUAGAACCACACAGUUGAAAGGAUUUGGCCUGAAAUCAACAACCGUGUCAACUACCCACUAAAACUGCCCUACUCCAGCUGAUGGACCAGGAGGAGAUAGAUAUGGAGGAUAACCUUGUGCGAUACUGUGUGUCCAAUCUAACCUGUCAGCUGUGUAACAUUGGUCUUGCAAGUGUGGUAGAAUCAUGGAAUGCUCAUAGAAUCCCAGGAAAAGGCAUACCAAAUCACUUUGCAGAACAUGGGUGUAAAAGAAGAAUUUCUCCAGAGCUCUUGCCAAAUGCACUUGAAGCAGCAGACCUUUACAGGCAGCACUUGGGAUCUGCACUCAAAGAAUAUUCGACUUUUGGAGU
This is a long non-coding RNA of Oreochromis aureus, 858 nucleotides long. RefSeq lists it as uncharacterized. The transcript has 3 exons. Lineage: Eukaryota; Metazoa; Chordata; Actinopteri; Cichliformes; Cichlidae. The record is from RefSeq and is a predicted model, not a curated record.